GACGAACGCUGGCGGCGUGCUUAACGCAUGCAAGUCGAACGGAAAGGCCCUGCUUUUGUGGGGUGCUCGAGUGGCGAACGGGUGAGUAACACGUGAGUAACCUGCCCUUGACUUUGGGAUAACUUCAGGAAACUGGGGCUAAUACCGGAUAGGAGCUCCUGCUGCAUGGUGGGGGUUGGAAAGUUUCGGCGGUUGGGGAUGGACUCGCGGGUGAUCAGCUUGUUGGUGGGGUAGUGGCUUACCAAGGCUUUGACGGGUAGCCGGCCUGAGAGGGUGACCAGCCACAUUGGGACUGAGAUACGGACCAGACUCCUACAGUGGGCAGCAGUGGCGAAUAUUGCACAAUGGGCGGGAGCCUGAUGCAGCAACGCCGCGUGCGGGAUGACGGCCUUCGGGUUGUAAACCGCUUUCGCCUAUGACGAAGCGUGAGUGACGGUAAUGGGUAAAGAAGCACCGGCUAACUACGUG
This 468-nucleotide ribosomal RNA is filed under the name uncultured bacterium. RNAcentral describes it as "partial 16S ribosomal RNA". It matches the Rfam family "Bacterial small subunit ribosomal RNA", at positions 28 to 507 of the family's 1533-position model. The record is from RNAcentral.